This is an RNA transcript of Lycium barbarum (goji berry), 3725 nucleotides long. RefSeq lists it as uncharacterized. The transcript has 5 exons. The record is from RefSeq and is a predicted model, not a curated record. NCBI's taxonomy places the organism in Eukaryota, Viridiplantae, Streptophyta, Magnoliopsida, Solanales, Solanaceae.
AUACUUUCACCUGUGAGGGAAAAAAAUAAAAUAAAAAAAAUAAAAAAUCCUAUGAUCAAACCAACACGAAACAUUCAUUAUUAAGGUACCCAAACCAAGAAACAACAUUUUCCACUUAUAAAAAAUUUAAAUCUUUUAUGGGAUAUUUUUUUUCUGGUUAUUUUGAUCUUGGGUUUUCUUGAAGGAAUCAAUUAGUGAUCUUUUAGUGGAAAAAGUUCAAAUCUUUUGCAAGUUUAUUAGGAAAAAGGGUGACCCUUUAAUUAGUUUACUAGUAAAGUUAUAUUUUUUGUGCAAGUUUAUCAGGAAAAAAGUGGAUUCUUUACUUUGUUUACUAGUAAAGUUAGAUUUUUUGUGCAAGUUCAUCAAGAAAAAGGUGACCUUUUAAUUAGUUUACUACUAGUAAAGUUAGUAUAAUUUUUGUGCAAGUUUAUCAGGAAAAAGGUGAUUUUUUACUUUGUUUACUAGUAAAGUUGGAAUUUUUACUAGUAUUUUGGGGUAAAAAAUAUGGCUUGUGAAGGUAGUUAGAAUCAAUUGGUGAUCUCUAAGGGAAGAAAGUUCAAAUCUUUUGCAAGUUUAUCAGGAAAAAAGUGGACCUACUAGUGAAGUUGAAUUUUUGUGCAAGUUUAUCAGGAAAAAGGUGAGACUUUUUUACUUUGUUUACUUGUAAAGUUUGAACUUUUACUAGUAUUUUGUGGUAAAAAGAAUGGCUUGUGAAGGUAAUUAUAUGUGGAGUUUGAGUGGUAUUGUGGCAGCUUUUGUUGAUCUUGCAAUAGCAUAUUUCUUGCUUUGUGCAGCAACAGUAGCAUUUUUAGCAUCAAAGUUUCUUGGUUUUUUUGGUUUGAGAUUGCCAUGUCCUUGUGAUGGACUUUUUGGUACUUUCCCAAAUGGGAAUUUAUGUUUUCAUAGACUCUUGAUUGAUUUCCCAGCUGAGAAAGUGUCCAAUGUUCAACUCUCUAUAAAAGCAAACUUCCCUUUUAAUGGUAAUACUAUUUUGGGAAAAGACGAGAAUUGUGAUUUGAAUUGGAGAUUAAUUGGUGAUAAAGAGAAUAGUCUUCAUGGGUAUCUUGAAAUGGGUGAUGAGGAUGGUUCACGUAAUUCAGUAUCGGAUGCAAGAAAGUCACAUAAUAUUGCUAGGAUUGAGUUGAGUCCAAAGGGGAAAGGGGUGAUGAAUCAGAGACAAAGAGGAGGGAUUCGUCGAAGAAGGCGUAAAGCAGCUGUUGAUUAUGGGAGAUCUUCAUCAGUUUCAUCAUAUGACCCUCCAUAUGAAGACUUUCCACUAAGUCCUCCAUCCCCUCCCAGUACCAAUAAAGAAGAUGGUGGCAACCCUCCACUGGUUAUGAGAUUGGACCACAGAGACAGCCUUGAAUUGAAUGGACUUCCUGAUGAAGUUGAGCACAUUGAAAAGAAUGUUGCAUCUAUUGGAGAGCUGAAGCAUAACGGCCAACUUGUUUCCGGCUUCAAUGAGGAAAACAGAACAAGACUCUUGGAACGAGCCUUAGAACACGAACAAGAAGCUCGAGAUGCUCUUUGCCUUGAGCUUGAGAAGGAAAGAAAUGCUGCAGCGAGUGCUGCAGAUGAGGCUAUGGCUAUGAUCUUACGUCUACAAGAGGAGAAGGCAUCUAUUGAAAUGGACGCCCGGCAAUAUCAGAGAUUAAUUGAAGAGAAAUCUGCUUUUGAAGCUGAGGAAAUGCACAUUCUAAUGGAGAUCCUGAUGAGGACAGAAAGGGAGAAACACUUUUUAGAGAAGGAGCUUGAAGUAUAUAGGCAGAUGACUUUUCUUGGAAAUGAAGAAUCAAGAGUUGAUAGUGGGAAUGUAGCGGAUGCUUCAUCUGAUCCUAAUGAGGAUCCACUUCUUAUGCUUCGGCAGAUUAGUGCAUCUUUUGACAAGGCACCGAUUCACAGACAGAAUAAAGAUGUCAGCUCCCAGAAGCAAAUUGACUUGGCAGUGUCCUCUUAUAGCAGCCAAGAAUUUCAGGAGAAAGAGAUGGUGUUUACAGUUAACAACUUUGGUAUGCCACCAGCGAAUAGGCAAAUACUGGACACUUUCUUGAAACCCCCUGAGGCAGGCCUUUCAAAACAGAAGCUUCCUGAUCAUGCCAUUUCGCUAGAAGGGGAAGUGCUAAAAGAAAAUUCAGAUAUGGAAAGACAUGACAGAGUUUUGAAGUAUCAUGAGACAAUUGGAUAUCAGGGAUCAAAAUGUCCAUGCAAUUUGACCUUGGAUAAAGAACCUCAAGUUCAUGAUGUUCAUGUGAUUGUUGACGGGUUCAACUUUUGCAAUGAUGUCAAUAGUGGUGAAUCUGGGAAAACUAGUCUCCCUAUUGAAGCUUCUCCUACACAGGAUGUAAUUAGGGAUCGUCCAAGUACUAGCACGUCUAAUAGUCAAAUGGAUCUUAAAAGCAGUUCGGACACUGCUUCUGCGCUUCCGCCAGUGGGCCAACGUAGUAAAACUUUGCUAUGUGAUGCGCGGGGAAAUCCCAUGUCCUCAGUAGACAAUGAAAGAUUGAAAAUUGAAUCUGAAUUGGGACGGCUUCGAGAGAGGUUAAAGAUUGUGCAAGAGGGAAGAGAAAAGCUUGACUUGACUGCAGAGCAUAGAGAAAGAGAAAAGAUGCAGUUAAAGCUUUUGGAGGAUAUAGCACGCCAACUUCACGAGAUUCGGCAGCUUACUGAACCUGAGAAGGCUGUACGACAGGCUUCCUUGCCUCUGCCAUCCUCCAAGCAUAGAAGUAAUGGCAUGCAAUUGUGUCGCAGAGCAUGUCAAAGAAAAGGCGUUCUCGAAGUGUCUCUGUAGGAAUGCAACAUAGCUCUUGAGGGGUUCAAACGGUUCGGAGCUUGGAGUUCCUAAUGCUGAGCCUCAAUAGUUCCAUCACAUUUACUCGGAUCCGGGGAAGACGAUCCAAAUAAUAUACCCCGUAUUGUUUUUUGAAGAGAUGUUGUGCAGCCAUUUGAGAACACGUUUUGCUGGGAACGGCCUCUCUAAAGUAUGCAGCUGAUGUUAACUGGAUAAGAAGAAAGGUUUUGACUAAGAAAGCACACCAUUGCAAAGGUUUUGACUAUGAAGGCACACCAUUGCUAUAGUCCCGCUGCUGCUACGAAGAGGCCACUGUUUGAUGUAUGACCUUAUGAGAUCAACAUAGAGAGGGAAUUGAUUUAAUGCAAAAAGCACCACGGGUAUGCAUGUUGCCGCAUAUAUUGGAAAUGCCACAUUCUUGAAGUUGUCAAGGAGGACAAAGAAAUGGGCAGCACAGAAUGAGAUCAAGAUAGCGGUUAUUGAUGCAAAAAGCGAAGUUAAUCCAAGGAGCAACUUUCUUGGCAAGUCUUUCUCGAAAUCAUUGUGUUGGCAUCGAGAUGUGAGGAUAGCCAAGAAAAACACCAGGGCCGUGACAGAGAAGCAAAGAGAAACAAGUGAUGAUAUAGAGAACACGUCAAAAGCAGGUUGAUUUUCAAAGUGUGGAUAGCCACUUUCAUUGGGACCGCCUGGGAUUUGGGAAGACGUAGCAAAUGCAACUGUAGCAAUCAGUGCUGCAAUGACAGAGAAUGAUUCGGCAGUUUUGACGAGCCAUUCAGUUCCAUCUUUGAGUAACGUUGCAUGCGUCUCUAUGAAGACCUGUCUUGGUGUCUGACCUUUCUUGUUAUAACGAACAUAUGACUGUCGUGGCAAAGUUUGCUUGACAUACUGCAUUAUGAUAAGAAAAUCUUUACAUGUUAGUGUAUUUUUUUGAUGAAAA